Molecule: small nucleolar RNA, 131 nt
Filed under: Castor canadensis (American beaver)
Lineage: Eukaryota; Metazoa; Chordata; Mammalia; Rodentia; Castoridae
Description: Small nucleolar RNA SNORA51 (ENSCCNG00000001581.1)
Rfam family: Small nucleolar RNA SNORA51
About the family: ACA51 is a member of the H/ACA class of snoRNA that guide the sites of modification of uridines to pseudouridines.
Source: Rfam by way of RNAcentral
GGCGUCCUGGUGCUGCCCACAGGCUGUGUUCUCACACUGACCGUACAGAAACAGGAGGCAGAGUAAACCUGCACCAUGUACACCUCAGCCCAGGCCUGCGCCUGCUCUGCACUGUGAAUGGGGAGCUGUGG